AACUAAAUCUUGCGAGUUCUCUCUAAAUUCAUUCGUAUACGGCAUUCUCUCACUCUUCGUUUCUGUUUGUUUCAAGAUUUUGUCCUAAUUUUACCUCUUUUUUCCCUUUUUAUGAGAGCCCUAAUUUUAGUUUUCUGCUACAAAGAUUUAAAAUUGGUGAUGCAGAUUAGGGAGUGGCAUGUCGCAUUCUCCUUCCGCAAUCCUCCGGCCAGAAACUCCUCAUUUAUUUUGUAAACCUAUCUCCUCCUUGUUUCAAUUCAUUUUAUAUCAAUUUUGUCUCACUGUAUACUAGUUUUGAAAAUUGUAAUCCCAUUUCUUUAUUGUUUAUCUUUUCUCACGGACCCCAUAUGGAUUUAUGGAUUUGCAUACUUGGUGAAAGAACAUUUCUCUUUCUCCCUUUUUUGGCCGGGAUUGAAGUUAGGCUGGGGAUAACACUAAUGAAACAUUAGUAGUGUGUACUUUAUGUAUUGGAAUUCUAGGUAGGAAUUAUAGGAGCUUGAAAAAUGAAUUAUUAGCCGAUAUCUCAAUUUUAAUUCAUGGCUAACUAGAAACUCUUGAAUUAUUUUAAUUACUUGGUCAUCUUCUUUGAGACUUGUUUUUAAGCUGCAUCUAUUCAUGUAGAUAAGCUAUUAAUUACCUUUAGCUUGAAAAUGUAAUGAUACUGUCACCUGUUUAUCAAUUGACAGAGUGUAGCAAACCUUUACUGCUACCUUUUUUUUUUUUUUUUUUUUCUCUUUACACUUUUUCCUGGUUGCAUUCUUUUAUUAGCUACAAAUUUGAAUUUAUUUAUUCACAUGUAGUUAUGCUAGGAAAUUAAAGAAAGUGGCGACAAAAAAAAUAAAAAUAAAAGAGGAUUUACAAUGUAUAUAUCCUAUGGUUUCCGGAUUCCUCCGAGGCAUCUUUUUGUCAUUAUCUAUUUUUUUAAUUGUCUUGUGCUAUUUUUUUGUUUGUUUUUUUCUCUAAGCUUCAACAGAAUGCUGAAUCUUGUAUAGAAGAGCUUGAUGAUCGAUAGUGAAAGAAGAGUUUUCUUGAGUGGUGUCGCAACCCUUCAACGUUUAGGCUUUAUGAGAUAAUAAUAUGAAUAUAUCACAAAUAUGAUUUUGAAACGAAUUUAUUCUCGAUGGUUCCAAAGAUACGAUAGUAACUCAUUUUGUUUAUUUUGCAUUUAUACUCCAUUAUCUUCAAUUUAGCAUGUUUCAAUAAUAAGGAUUUCCAUUAAUUUGUAUUUAUAACAUGAAAUUGUAGUGCAGGUUAUUUUUGUAAGAUAGAGAAUGCAUUUUUUUUACCCUCUUCUAUAAAUGUUCAAUUCAUAUUGAAGACCUUUGAAUUUUUUUAUUAUAUACACACAUGCAUGUUGAUGACUUCCAAUCUGAUCUUGCUUCUAUUUGAGGAGUAACAUGUUAGUUGGUAGAUCAUGUGUUGCCAUCACGAAGUUCCAUUUCUCCUUAUUCAAUAGUAACUAUGUAGUAAAGUUGGUGCAGAGUUUGAUCUUGAUCAGAUAGUUAGUUUCGAACAGUGCUACAAAAAGAGUUUCAUCUAGAUUUCUAGCUAUUGGAGAUAAUUUUCGAUUUGAGUUUCAUUUGCAUGAAUACCUUUAUUGAAAUCCUUUCUUAAAAUAUAUGAUUUGAAUUUUAACUUGGAAUCUUUUGAUUUAAUUUCUAUUAUUAUAGGUCUUAUGGCUAGAUAAUGUUGAUUCUUAUAUAAUGUCAUAUGAGGUACAAAAGUUUCCCCACCUUAUUCAUGUCUCUAUAGAUUUUCUGAGAACAACUUGUGUUUCUUGACAUCACUGAAAAUUUUAUCUAAUAGAAUCUUUGUCUUUUUAGUUUUAGUUUUGUUCUUUAUGCCCAAACAUGGAAAUUGAUAACUCGUCUCUUCUAAUUACAGAUAACUUGACUGGUGUACUGAUGUUCCUAUAAAGUAUCGCAUUUUUUUGGUAAUGUCGUUAGGUCGGCGACAACUGUCAACUGAAGCUAUAAGAUUUCAGUGAAGAUGGGAUGAUUAAAGCGGUGAUAAGUACUAGCUUUGUCCGGUAGAGUCUAUACUUUAUUAAUGUGAAAGUAUAUUUUUAUACUUAGUGUGUAGAAUAUUGAACUACUUUCAGCCUUUGAUAUGUAAACUAGGUUGAAAUAUUAAUGAUGGUUGUUCAUCAUACUUUAUAUCAGAUUCGUUUAUAAUAAAAUUUUGUUUUAGUAUUUA
RNAcentral lists this long non-coding RNA (2196 nucleotides) under Erythranthe guttata (spotted monkey flower). RNAcentral's name for it is "long non-coding RNA (EGUT_LNC001505)". The record is from RNAcentral. Lineage: Eukaryota; Viridiplantae; Streptophyta; Magnoliopsida; Lamiales; Phrymaceae.